AUAACUACCGUUUUACUUGUAAAGAAAUGUAAUGGAAAGCAAGAAAUACCUUUUCGAAAUAAACUUCAAUCCACGACGAUCCAUCGUUCAACGAAAAAUUCAAUUGAAAUAACUUAAAAGUUUGCAUGCAGCAUAGUCGAAAACACAAUGAGCAACAAAUUGAACAAAGCAGAAGUAAAAUACAUAAACGUGAGAACAAAGAGAGAAACAACAAAAGUGUGUAACUCAAAUGUACGAACGAACAGAAAUGCAGAAAUCAACACUGUGUAUUAAAAGCAGCUACUUUUUUUAUUUGUGCUGCUUUUUGGUUUUGUGUAAAAUAAGUUUUUUUAUGUUUUUUUUGUAAUGUGUUUGUAUUUUAUUGAUGAUAUACAACAAUUGGGUCAAGCACCUGUAUGCGGGAGCUUAAGGACCAACAUUGCUGGUGUGCAAACAUGCCAUAUUUAUGUAUGCUCAAAUAAAAGUCUCCAAA
Bactrocera dorsalis (oriental fruit fly) is the source of this 472-nucleotide long non-coding RNA. RefSeq lists it as uncharacterized. NCBI's taxonomy places the organism in Eukaryota, Metazoa, Arthropoda, Insecta, Diptera, Tephritidae. The record is from RefSeq and is a predicted model, not a curated record. The transcript is spliced from 2 exons.